RNAcentral lists this ribosomal RNA (234 nucleotides) under uncultured bacterium. RNAcentral describes it as "partial 16S ribosomal RNA". It matches the Rfam family "Bacterial small subunit ribosomal RNA", at positions 99 to 334 of the family's 1533-position model. The record is from RNAcentral.
CGAACGGGUGAGUAACACGUGAGUAACCUGCCCCAGACUCUGGGAUAACCCCGGGAAACCGGAGCUAAUACCGGAUAUGACACGAAGAGGCAUCUCUAUCGUGUGGAAAGUUUUUCGGUCUGGGAUGGACUCGCGGCCUAUCAGCUUGUUGGUGAGGUAACGGCUCACCAAGGCGACGACGGGUAGCCGGCCUGAGAGGGCGAUCGGCCACACUGGGACUGAGACACGGCCCAG